AUGCGUGCGCACGACCUGCGGAGACCGGUCGUGGAGUCCACUGCGUCCCUACUUCGCUUCGGGGUCAGCGCGAGGGCCAGACAGGCCUGGCAGACCGUGGACGACUUCGGAAGGCCAAGGCGGCCAGCCGGCUAGACUACAUGACCUACACUUGGAGGUUCUUCUCUCUAUUCCUGCAAAAAGAAACCCAUGGGGAGAUCCAGCAGGACUCUUCGUGUCAUGAGGACUAAAACUCAUUCCUGAGGAAGAAUGGAGGAGCUGCCUCUCAGAAGCAAGGCUUUAAAUCAGUGGUUUCCAAAAAUUAUUCUAGAACUCAGAAACAGGAUGAAGUUUUCAUCACGGAAUAAGAGAAAAUAAGGUCAAUAUGCUCUCCAACUGCUUCUACUGUCUGCUUGUCUCUUCUGACCGUCCUAUCAGGGCAACUGUUCUGAAUUCCUGGGAGAAUGGUGGUGUCCUGGAGGGCAGUGCUUUGGGCCUCGGCCUUCAGCUUGUCUUUGGGAUUUUGGUCAUCAGAACUCAUCCUCAAUUUAAUGACCUUCAAUGGAUGGGAGGCCAGAGUCAGGACGUGGGUGCAAAACCAUUUCCGCCAAAUUUUAUAAGAUGGGAGAUUCUCCAUUGGACCACUUUUGGGACAUCAAGACAGCUAAACUUAAAGAAUCACCCAGCAGAGAGGUCUCCACUGCAAGAGGAGGCGUAG
Long non-coding RNA from Suricata suricatta (meerkat), 697 nucleotides. NCBI's taxonomy places the organism in Eukaryota, Metazoa, Chordata, Mammalia, Carnivora, Herpestidae. The record is from Ensembl.